RNAcentral lists this ribosomal RNA (482 nucleotides) under Granulicatella elegans. RNAcentral describes it as "bacterial SSU rRNA". It matches the Rfam family "Bacterial small subunit ribosomal RNA", at positions 28 to 492 of the family's 1533-position model. Lineage: Bacteria; Bacillati; Bacillota; Bacilli; Lactobacillales; Carnobacteriaceae. The record is from RNAcentral.
GACGAACGCUGGCGGCGUGCCUAAUACAUGCAAGUCGAACGAGAGCGACCGGUGCUUGCACUGGUCAAUCUAGUGGCGAACGGGUGAGUAACACGUGGGUAACCUGCCCAUCAGAGGGGGAUAACAUUCGGAAACGGAUGCUAAAACCGCAUAGGUUCUUGAGUCGCAUGACUGAAGAAGAAAAAGAGGCUUCGGCUUCUGCUGAUGGAUGGACCCGCGGUGCAUUAGCUAGUUGGUGAGGUAACGGCUCACCAAGGCCGUGAUGCAUAGCCGACCUGAGAGGGUGAUCGGCCACAUUGGGACUGAGACACGGCCCAAACUCCUACGGGAGGCAGCAGUAGGGAAUCUUCCGCAAUGGACGCAAGUCUGACGGAGCAACGCCGCGUGAGUGAAGAAGGAUUUCGGUUCGUAAAACUCUGUUGUUAGAGAAGAACAGCGCAUAGAGUAACUGUUAUGCGUGUGACGGAUCUAACCAGAAAGCC